UGACCGUAUAAAAAAAUGUGUUUAGUCAUGAUCAUGAUUAUAUUCCUAACCUAUAGGCAGAUCAUUGGCCAUUUCCGAUUAAUUUUAAAAACAUCAAAACAAAAUCACUGUCGAAUACCGCGCGUCCUUCGUCCUUCGACAAGGGACAACACGUCCUGUCGUAUAGAUUAAUUGUUUGUGUCGCGGACGAACGAUACGGAGUCUGUGCUACCAUACACUAACUACUAGUAUUUUUAUCAUAUUUUAAAAGGAGUGUCGUCCAUAAAAGAGAUGAAUGAAAUACACCGUUCAUUGUAUUGUAAGAGUGAACAAAUGGGUGUUCCGAAACCCAAUAAAUGUAAUCAUCAAACCAUACAAAUACUGAACACACAGUAUUUGAUGUCCUACAAUCUUUACGCAAGUAUGUCGUUUCAAGAGAUAAGGCAAAAAGCUGAUGAUGAUACAAUAGUUAUUGGACACGAGGUUGUAUUAACUCGUCUGUUAGUCAAUAUUUCCGGGCUAAGUUCACUAAUUUUAGUGAACACAAAAAAUAUGCUUUAGUUAUAAGAGAAUGUGAAGAUCAUGAUCAGCAAGGAAAUGUACAGGUGUAAUCGCUAUGGAUGGUUGUAUGUUAUGCUGGUUAUGAUGUCAAAGUGGAAUGGCGGUUGAAUUCUAUUGAAAUGUACGACGCUAGCACCAAUACCUGAUCAAUGGAAGAAAUUUCGGAAACUAUAAGUAAUGUUGGUGGUGUAGUAAUUGUUGACAAGGCAUUUGUCACCAAACUGUAUUAUUAAUUAGUAAACGUGGUCCCAUUGUUCAUAAUAUGUGAUAUAAUAAAUACACAAUGAUACAUAAAAAAUUUAUUAUAGUGUAAGAAAUCCAUGAUUUUGUUUAAUUUAUAAUAAACCAUUUAUUUAUAUUU
Acyrthosiphon pisum (pea aphid) is the source of this 901-nucleotide long non-coding RNA. RefSeq lists it as uncharacterized. NCBI's taxonomy places the organism in Eukaryota, Metazoa, Arthropoda, Insecta, Hemiptera, Aphididae. The record is from RefSeq and is a predicted model, not a curated record. The transcript is spliced from 3 exons.